UACGUAGGGUGCAAGCGUUAAUCGGAAUUACUGGGCGUAAAGCGUGCGCAGGCGGUCCGUUAAGACAGAUGUGAAAUCCCCGGGCUUAACCUGGGAACUGCAUUGGUGACUGGCAGGCUUUGAGUGUGGCAGAGGGAGGUAGAAUUCCACGUGUAGCAGUGAAAUGCGUAGAGAUGUGGAGGAAUACCGAUGGCGAAGGCCAGCCUCCUGGGCCAACACUGACGCUCAUGCACGAAAGCGUGGGGAGCAAACAGG
RNAcentral lists this ribosomal RNA (255 nucleotides) under uncultured bacterium. Its description in RNAcentral is "partial 16S ribosomal RNA". It matches the Rfam family "Bacterial small subunit ribosomal RNA", at positions 524 to 776 of the family's 1533-position model. The record is from RNAcentral.